UACGGAGGGUGCGAGCGUUGUCCGGAAUCAUUGGGCGUAAAGGGCGCGUAGGUGGCCCGGUCAGCGUGCGGUGAAAGCUCGGGGCUCAACCCCGAGUCGGCCGUGCGAACUGCUGGGCUUGAGCACUGUAGAGGCAGGCGGAAUUCCGGGUGUAGCGGUGGAAUGCGUAGAGAUCGGGAAGAACAUCGGUGGCGAAGGCGGUCUGCUGGGCCGUUGCUGACGCUGAGGCGCGACAGCGUGGGGAGCAAACAGG
Molecule: ribosomal RNA, 253 nt
Filed under: uncultured bacterium
Lineage: Bacteria
Description: partial 16S ribosomal RNA
Rfam family: Bacterial small subunit ribosomal RNA
Source: RNAcentral